AACGCUGGCGGCAGGCCUAACACAUGCAAGUCGAGCGGAUGAAGGGAGCUUGCUCCUGGAUUCAGCGGCGGACGGGUGAGUAAUGCCUAAGAAUCUGCCUGGUAGUGGGGGAUAACGUCCGGAAACGGGCGCUAAUACCGCAUACGUCCUGAGGGAGAAAGUGGGGGAUCUUCGGACCUCACGCUAUCAGAUGAGCCUAUGUCGGAUUAGCUGGUUGGUGGGGUAAAGGCCUACCAAGGCGACGAUCCGUAACUGGUCUGAGAGGAUGAUCAGUCACACUGGAACUGAGACACGGUCCAGACUCCUACGGGAGGCAGCAGUGGGGAAUAUUGGACAAUGGGCGAAAGCCUGAUCCAGCCAUGCCGCGUGUGUGAAGAAGGUCUUCGGAUUGUAAAGCACUUUAAGUUGGGAGGAAGGGCAGUAAGUUAAUACCUUGCUGUUUUGACGUUACCAACAGAAUAAGCACCGGCUAACUUCGUGCCAGCAGCCGCGGUAAUACGAAGGGUGCAAGCGUUAAUCGGAAUUACUGGGCGUAAAGCG
This 540-nucleotide ribosomal RNA is filed under the name uncultured Pseudomonadaceae bacterium. RNAcentral describes it as "SSU rRNA". It matches the Rfam family "Bacterial small subunit ribosomal RNA", at positions 32 to 567 of the family's 1533-position model. Lineage: Bacteria; Pseudomonadati; Pseudomonadota; Gammaproteobacteria; Pseudomonadales; Pseudomonadaceae. The record is from RNAcentral.